GAAGGUAACAGAACGUCCUGCCUCAUAGGUAAAGACACUAGGCUCAUUACCGAAGUGAGAACGAUAGUAAGACGCAGGAGUGAGUAUGUAUAUAUGAGUAGCAGUACUUGAUAUAUCAAAGCCGUAAAUCCAAGGG
This 136-nucleotide ribosomal RNA is filed under the name Dunaliella viridis. RNAcentral describes it as "large subunit ribosomal RNA". Lineage: Eukaryota; Viridiplantae; Chlorophyta; Chlorophyceae; Chlamydomonadales; Dunaliellaceae. The record is from RNAcentral.